RNAcentral lists this ribosomal RNA (950 nucleotides) under uncultured bacterium. Its description in RNAcentral is "bacterial SSU rRNA". It matches the Rfam family "Bacterial small subunit ribosomal RNA", at positions 42 to 997 of the family's 1533-position model. The record is from RNAcentral.
GGGUAAGGUUAACUGGCAGUUCGACGAAGCGAGAAUAAAGCGCAAGCAGAAGGUUCUUGACUGAGUGGCGGACGGGUGAGUAACGCGUGGAUAACCUGCCUUUCACAGGGGGAUAACAGCUGGAAACGGUUGCUAAUACCGCAUGAGCCUCUUUUGUCGCAUGACGGGAGAGGGAAAGAGAAAUCGGUGAGAGAUGGAUCCGCGUCCGAUUAGCUAGUUGGAGGGGUAACAGCCCACCAAGGCGACGAUCGGUAGCCGACCUGAGAGGGUGGACGGCCACAUUGGGACUGAGACACGGCCCAAACUCCUACGGGAGGCAGCAGUGGGGAAUAUUGCACAAUGGGGGAAACCCUGAUGCAGCAACGCCGCGUGAGUGAGGAAGUAUUUCGGUAUGUAAAGCUCUAUCAGCAGGGAAUAGAAAAGAAGGUACCUGAAAAAGAAGCCCCGGCUAACUACGUGCCAGCAGCCGCGGUAAUACGUAGGGAGCAAGCGUUAUCCGGAUCUACUGGGUGUAAAGGGCGUGUAGGCGGGCCUGUAAGUCAGAAGUGAAAUCUGGGGGCUUAACCCCCAAACUGCUUUUGAAACUGCGGGUCUUGAGUGAUGGAGAGGCGGGCGGAAUUCCCAGUGUAGCGGUGAAAUGCGUAGAUAUUGGGAGGAACACCAGUGGCGAAGGCGGCCUGCUGGACAUUAACUGACGCUGAGGCGCGAAAGCGUGGGGAGCAAACAGGAUUAGAUACCCUGGUAGUCCACGCCGUANACGAUGGAUACUAGGUGUGGGAGGUAUUGACCCCUUCCGUGCCGCAGUUAACACAAUAAGUAUCCCACCUGGGGAGUACGGCCGCAAGGUUGAAAACUCAAGGAAUUGACGGGGGCCCGCACAAGCAGUGGAGUAUGUGGUUUAAUUCGAAGCAACGCGAAGAACCUUACCAGGUCUUGACAUCCCUCGGACC